AACUUUCAACAACGGAUCUCUUGGUUCUCGCAUCGAUGAAGAACGCAGCGAAAUGCGAUAAGUAGUGUGAAUUGCAGAAUUCAGUGAAUCAUCGAAUCUUUGAACGCACAUUGCGCCCUCCGGUAUUCCGGAGGGCAUGCCUGUCCGAGCGUCAUU
RNAcentral lists this ribosomal RNA (156 nucleotides) under Nanoscypha sp. mh#693/NYBG. RNAcentral describes it as "5.8S ribosomal RNA". It matches the Rfam family "5.8S ribosomal RNA". Rfam says of the family: 5.8S ribosomal RNA (5.8S rRNA) is a component of the large subunit of the eukaryotic ribosome. It is transcribed by RNA polymerase I as part of the 45S precursor that also contains 18S and 28S rRNA. Functionally, it is thought that 5.8S rRNA may be involved in ribosome translocation. Lineage: Eukaryota; Fungi; Ascomycota; Pezizomycetes; Pezizales; Sarcoscyphaceae. The record is from RNAcentral.